UCCGGUUGAUCCUGCCGGACCCCACUGCUAUCGGGGUGGGACUAAGACAUGCUAGUCGUGCGCCUCCAAGCCACGGUGGAGGCGCGGCGCACAGCUCAGUAACACGUGGCUAACCUACCCUUGGGACAGGGACAACCCCGGGAAACUGGGGCUAAUCCCCGAUAGGUGAGGACUCCUGGAAUGGGUCCUCGCUGAAAGGGCGUCUAGACCAUGCUUCUAGACGCUGCCCAAGGAUGGGGCCGCGGCCGAUCAGGUUGUUGGUGAGGUAACGGCUCACCAAGCCUAAGACCGGUACGGGCCGUGAGAGCGGGAGCCCGGAGAUGGACACUGAGACAAGGGUCCAGGCCCUACGGGGCGCAGCAGUCGCGAAACCUCCGCAAUACGCGAAAGCGUGACGGGGCCACCCCGAGUGCCGUCCGCUGAGGACGGCUUUUCCCCAGUGUAGACAGCUGGGGGAAUAAGGGGAGGGCAAGUCGGGUGUCAGCCGCCGCGGUAAUACCCGCUCCCCGAGUGGUGGGGACGCUUAUUGGGCCUAAAGCAUCCGUAGCCGGCUGGACAAGUCCCCUGUUAAAUCCAGCGAUUUAAUCGCUGGACUGCGGGGGAUACUGUCCAGCUAGGGGGCGGGAGAGGCCGGCGGUAUUCCCGGGGUAGGGGUGAAAUCUUAUAAUCCCGGGAGGACCACCAGUGGCGAAGGCCGCCGGCUGGAACGCGCCCGACGGUGAGGGAUGAAAGCUGGGGGAGCGAACCGGAUUAGAUACCCGGGUAGUCCCAGCUGUAAACGAUGCGGGCUAGGUGUUGGCACGGCUACAAGCCGUGUCAGUGCCGCAGGGAAGCCGUUAAGCCCGCCGCCUGGGGAGUACGGCCGCAAGGCUGAAACUUAAAGGAAUUGGCGGGGGAGCACCACAAGGGGUGAAGCUUGCGGUUUAAUUGGAGUCAACGCCGGG
RNAcentral lists this ribosomal RNA (944 nucleotides) under uncultured archaeon. RNAcentral describes it as "bacterial SSU rRNA". It matches the Rfam family "Archaeal small subunit ribosomal RNA", at positions 1 to 922 of the family's 1478-position model. The record is from RNAcentral.